CAACUUAUAGUAUAAUUUUAUUACAUCUCUUUUACACUGAGAAAAUAGAGUAUCUUUUGUUGU
This 63-nucleotide transfer RNA is filed under the name Myrianida brachycephala. Its description in RNAcentral is "tRNA-Val". Lineage: Eukaryota; Metazoa; Annelida; Polychaeta; Phyllodocida; Syllidae. The record is from RNAcentral.